CCUACGGGAGGCAGCAGUGAGGAAUAUUGGUCAAUGGGCGCGAGCCUGAACCAACCAAGUAGCGUGAAGGAUGACUGCCCUACGGGUUGUAAACUUCUUUUAUAAAGGAAUAAAGUGAGGCACGUGUGCCUUUUUGUAUGUACUUUAUGAAUAAGGAUCGGCUAACUCCGUGCCAGCAGCCGCGGUAAUACGGAGGAUCCGAGCGUUAUCCGGAGUUAUUGGGUUUAAAGGGAGCGUAGAUGGGUUGUUAAGUCAGUGGUGAAAGUUUGCGGCUCAACCGUAAAAUUGCAAUUGAUACUGGCUGUCUUGAGUACAGUUGAGGUAGGCGGAAUUCGUGGUGUAGCGGUGAAAUGCUUAGAUAUCACGAAGAACUCCGAUUGCGAAGGCAGCUUACUAAACUGCCACUGACAUUGAUGCUCGAAAGUGUGGGUAUCAAACAGGAUUAGAUACCCGAGUAGUC
RNAcentral lists this ribosomal RNA (460 nucleotides) under uncultured bacterium. RNAcentral's name for it is "partial 16S ribosomal RNA". It matches the Rfam family "Bacterial small subunit ribosomal RNA", at positions 338 to 795 of the family's 1533-position model. The record is from RNAcentral.